CUGUAUUCUUUUAUUAAAUACUUUUUCACUAAACGCAAAGAAGAAAAAACAUUUUGGCUUUCUGUGGCUGGAAAUGGAUUCUAGAGAUUGAUUGCAUGAUAGGAUCAUGCUGCCUUGUCAGAUUCAAUACUUAUCUCAAGAGUAUGUAAAAGAUUACAGUUCUGCAGAAAUACUUGAGGCAUAUAUUAACAAAAGCAAAAACAAAACAAUAGAAAAAUCUAGUUCAUGGAUUGUGAAAUGACAUUGUAAUGUAAACUGAAACAUUUUUCUUUUUUAUACAGUCAUAUUAACCAUGUCAUAAGUGCAACAUUAUAUGUUGAUUUUGUUUUGUGCUAGACUCCUUAUGGGUUAUUCACUAAAGUAAGAUUUUUUGGGAAUUCAAAGUGAAUUUCAAUUUUUUUUUUGCAGUUUUCAGACAUCACUCUCAUCACAAGUGGUACACAUAGUGUCUGGAUAUGUCAUCAUCCUGCUGCAUUAUCAAGCAUAAUCAAAAAUAUAAAGAAAAGGAAUACAGACAAAACAGAG
This is a non-coding RNA of Pelobates cultripes (western spadefoot toad), 525 nucleotides long. NCBI's taxonomy places the organism in Eukaryota, Metazoa, Chordata, Amphibia, Anura, Pelobatidae. The record is from the annotation of a GenBank genome assembly.